This 230-nucleotide ribosomal RNA is filed under the name uncultured bacterium. RNAcentral describes it as "partial 16S ribosomal RNA". It matches the Rfam family "Bacterial small subunit ribosomal RNA", at positions 103 to 334 of the family's 1533-position model. The record is from RNAcentral.
CGGCGGGUGAGUAAUGUCUGGGAAACUGCCCGAUGGAGGGGGAUAACUACUGGAAACGGUAGCUAAUACCGCAUAACGUCGCAAGACCAAAGAGGGGACCUUCGGGCCUCUUGCCAUCGGAUGUGCCCAGAUGGGAUUAGCUAGUAGGUGGGGUAACGGCUCACCUAGGCGACGAUCCCUAGCUGGUCUGAGAGGAUGACCAGCCACACUGGAACUGAGACACGGUCCAG